GAAACAUGUCUGGAAAAAUCCCGAUCCAUGAUAUGUUAGAAAGCAGCAUUUUAGCAAUUAGCAAACAAAAUAUCACUGAACAAAAGAAAUCUAAAAAUUUAGGCAAAUUUACAUUGGAUUCAGUCAGUAAUGUAAGUGAUAAACGGCAUAACAAAUCACGUGGUUUAUUAAUGUUGCAAGGGGAAGCUGAUCAUGCACUCUUCAAAAUCGUUAGCACAUCAUUCCACACAGAAAGUGGCAAUAACCAAGAUAUUGCUGUCACAUUACCUGCGAAUAUAUCAUUGUGAUUGCGUACCAUCAUACAAUUAGAACAUCUUGAGCAGAUUCUACUCGAAAAAGCUUCAUUGGAUGCAGUGAUCGGUGGGCGAACUGUUGUGGAGACAGUGAAAAACGUUCUAUCUGAGUUAAUGGCCAGAGAAGUUUCUCAACAAAUAAACUUUGAUGGCCGUGGAGGGCUAAAGCAAGGGAUCAAAAACAUGAAGAUGUUAUCUGCAAUUUACGGUGCAUCGCAGCACAAUCCAUUUGCAAAAAAUGAUACCUAAAUGGAAAUAAGUGAUUUCGUAAAGACAUGGCUUCGUAAUUCGUUUCACAGAAAAAAGUCUGAUGGAUCA
This is a non-coding RNA of Hydra vulgaris (swiftwater hydra), 611 nucleotides long. The record is from RefSeq and is a predicted model, not a curated record. NCBI's taxonomy places the organism in Eukaryota, Metazoa, Cnidaria, Hydrozoa, Anthoathecata, Hydridae.